GUGAGGAAUAUUGGACAAUGGGCGCAAGCCUGAUCCAGCCAUGCCGCGUGCAGGAAGAAGGCCUUCGGGUUGUAAACUGCUUUUGUACGGAACGAAACGGUCCUGGCUAAUAUCCGGGGCUAAUGACGGUACCGUAAGAAUAAGCACCGGCUAACUACGUGCCAGCAGCCGCGGUAAUACGUAGGGUGCGAGCGUUAAUCGGAAUUACUGGGCGUAAAGCGUGCGCAGGCGGUGCUGUAAGACAGGCGUGAAAUCCCCGGGCUCAACCUGGGAAUUGCGCUUGUGACUGCAGUGCUGGAGUGCGGCAGAGGGGGAUGGAAUUCCGCGUGUAGCAGUGAAAUGCGUAGAUAUGCGGAGGAACACCGAUGGCGAAGGCAAUCCCCUGGGCCUGCACUGACGCUCAUGCACGAAAGCGUGGGGAGCAAACAGGAUUAGAUACCCCGGUAGUCC
This 450-nucleotide ribosomal RNA is filed under the name uncultured bacterium. Its description in RNAcentral is "partial 16S ribosomal RNA". It matches the Rfam family "Bacterial small subunit ribosomal RNA", at positions 354 to 796 of the family's 1533-position model. The record is from RNAcentral.